This is a long non-coding RNA of Acipenser ruthenus (sterlet), 813 nucleotides long. RefSeq lists it as uncharacterized. Lineage: Eukaryota; Metazoa; Chordata; Actinopteri; Acipenseriformes; Acipenseridae. The transcript has 4 exons. The record is from RefSeq and is a predicted model, not a curated record.
ACAAAAGGCUCGAUAAAGAGUACUCCAUCAUAAGAACAGAAAAACAGGUAAAAACAAGUGCAAGGAUAUUAUUGUUUUUAAAUAAACAAAUCUUUUGUUUGCUUUUUUUCUUUUCUUGCCGAUAUUUAAGACUUGGUAUCUUUGUCUUAAACAUGUUACAUUAUUGUUUUAAAUGGGACAAAUGUAAAAAGUACACUUAUUGCAAGGUGACAUGCCAGAAACACUCAUACUAACUAUUAUUGUUUGCUGUUUGCGUUCAGGAGGUUCUGAACUCCCUGCAGCAUGCCCAACAGCUGCUCCAGCGGCAGACCGAGGUGGUCAGCAAAGUGGAAGCAGAGUUGAAUGCACUACAAGAGAAAUAUCAGGUCCUUGAAAGAGACAAUACACUUCUGAGAGAGAAGACCAAAGAAAAGGAAGACCGAUUUUUACACCUAACAGAGGAACAUGACAAAUCUAAAACAAACUGGGAAAAAGAGGAGGAGAAGUUACAUGAAGAAAUCCUUGUUGCAAAUAAUGAGUUUAAAUCAAUAAAAGAAGCUUAUGAUCAUCUCUGUGAACAGAACAGCCUGUUAACAACAUGCAGGGUUCAGCAAGCAGAACAAAUACAACAAUUAGAGAGUGCUUUGAAAACAGAGCACUGCAAGGCUGGUGAAGAUCUAAACAAAGAAAAUAGCAGAAUAUCCAUUGCAAUUGUCAGUGAGUUACACACUCAAGAAGAAGAAAAGACAUGUCAAGGGAAGGCAGAUCAUACAGAGAAAGUUCAAAAGAAAAAUAACAAAACAGAAGACACCACCAGUACUGCUGUUGUUAAAG